RNAcentral lists this ribosomal RNA (254 nucleotides) under uncultured bacterium. RNAcentral describes it as "partial 16S ribosomal RNA". It matches the Rfam family "Bacterial small subunit ribosomal RNA", at positions 524 to 776 of the family's 1533-position model. The record is from RNAcentral.
UACGUAGGGGGCGAGCGUUGUCCGAAGUUACUGGGCGUAAAGCGCGCGUAGGCGGUUAUUUAAGUCUGGGGUGAAAGGUUCAGCGCUCAACGUGAACAGUGCCUUGGAUACUGGAUGACUUGAGUCUGGGAGGGGGAAGGGGAAUUCCUGGUGUAGCGGUGAAAUGCGUAGAUAUCAGGAGGAACACCGGUGGCGAAGGCGCCUUCCUGGCCUAAGACUGACGCUGAGGUGCGAAAGCGUGGGGAGCAAACGGG